UACGUGGGGGGUAAGCGUUGUUCGGAAUUACUGGGCGUAAAGGGCUCGUAGGCGGCCAACUAAGUCGGACGUGAAAUCCCUCGGCUCAACUGAGGAACUGCCUUUGAAACUGUCUGGCUUGAGGCCGGGAGAGGGUAGCGGAAUCCCCAGUGUAGCGGUGAAAUGCGUAGAUAUUGGGAGGAACACCAGUGGCGAAGGCGGCUACCUGGACCGGUUCUGACGCUGAGGCGCGAAAGCGUGGGUAGCAAACAGG
Molecule: ribosomal RNA, 253 nt
Filed under: uncultured bacterium
Lineage: Bacteria
Description: partial 16S ribosomal RNA
Rfam family: Bacterial small subunit ribosomal RNA
Source: RNAcentral